UCACCUCCCACCCGUGUCUAUCGUACCUUGUUGCUUCGGCGGGCCCGCCGUUUCGACGGCCGCCGGGGAGGCCUUGCGCCCCCGGGCCCGCGCCCGCCGAAGACCCCAACAUGAACGCUGUUCUGAAAGUAUGCAGUCUGAGUUGAUUAUCGUAAUCAGUUAAAACUUUCAACAACGGAUCUCUUGGUUCCGGCAUCGAUGAAGAACGCAGCGAAAUGCGAUAAGUAAUGUGAAUUGCAGAAUUCAGUGAAUCAUCGAGUCUUUGAACGCACAUUGCGCCCCCUGGUAUUCCGGGGGGCAUGCCUGUCCGAGCGUCAUUGCUGCCCUCAAGCACGGCUUGUGUGUUGGGCCCCCGUCCCCCUCUCCCGGGGGACGGGCCCGAAAGGCAGCGGCGGCACCGCGUCCGGUCCUCGAGCGUAUGGGGCUUUGUCACCUGCUCUGUAGGCCCGGCCGGCGCCAGCCGACACCCAACUUUAUUUUUCUAAGGUUGACCUCGGAUCAGGUAGGGAUACCCGCUGAACUUAAGCAUAUCAAUAAGCGGAGGA
RNAcentral lists this ribosomal RNA (545 nucleotides) under Aspergillus fumigatus. RNAcentral's name for it is "eukaryotic LSU rRNA". The stretch from base 164 to 317 matches the Rfam family "5.8S ribosomal RNA". The record is from RNAcentral. Lineage: Eukaryota; Fungi; Ascomycota; Eurotiomycetes; Eurotiales; Aspergillaceae.